GUAGUCAUAUGCUUGUCUCAAAGAUUAAGCCAUGCGUGUCUCAGUGCAAGCUAUACUAAAGUGAAACCGCGAAUGGCUCAUUAAAUCAGUUAUGGUUCCUUAGAUGAAAGACAGUUACUUGGAUAACUGUGGUAAUUCUAGAGCUAAUACAUGCAACUCUGUCCCGACCGGAGACGGAAGGGACGCUUUUAUUAGAUCAAAACCAAUCGGUCCUUCGGGUCCGUUUGCCUUGGUGACUCUGAAUAAAUUGUGGCAGAUCGCACGGUCUACGCACCGGCGACGCAUCUUUCAAAUGUCUGCCUUAUCAACUGUCGAUGGUAGGUUUUGCGCCUACCAUGGUUGCAACGGGUAACGGGGAAU
RNAcentral lists this ribosomal RNA (360 nucleotides) under uncultured fungus. Its description in RNAcentral is "SSU rRNA". It matches the Rfam family "Eukaryotic small subunit ribosomal RNA", at positions 20 to 370 of the family's 1831-position model. The record is from RNAcentral. Lineage: Eukaryota; Fungi.